This 433-nucleotide ribosomal RNA is filed under the name uncultured bacterium. Its description in RNAcentral is "partial 16S ribosomal RNA". It matches the Rfam family "Bacterial small subunit ribosomal RNA", at positions 29 to 507 of the family's 1533-position model. The record is from RNAcentral.
AACGAACGCUGGCGGCAGGCUUAACACAUGCAAGUCGAACGCACCUUUCGGGGUGAGUGGCCGACGGGUGAGUAACGCGUGGGAAUCUACCCUUCUCUACGGGAUAGCUCCGGGAAACUGGAAUUAAUACCGUAUACGUCCUGAGGGAGAAAGAUUUAUCGGGGAAGGAUGAGCCCGCGUUGGAUUAGCUAGUUGGUGGGGUAAAGGCCUACCAAGGCGACGAUCCAUAGCUGGUCUAAGAGGAUGAUCAGCCACAUUGGGACUGAGACACGGCCCAAACUCCUACGGGAGGCAGCAGUGGGGAAUAUUGGACAAUGGGCGCAAGCCUGAUCCAGCCAUGCCGCGUGAGCGAUGAAGGCCCUAGGGUUGUAAAGCUCUUUCAGUGGGGACGAUAAUGACGGUACCCACAGAAGAAGCCCCGGCUAACUUCGUG